CCCCUCCUACAAAAUGAAGGGAAUGGACCGCAAGUAGAGCAAAGUGGUUUCUAAAACUUCAACAAGCUCGGCAGGGAACUUUCCGAGAGCAGGGCUUACAAAGGGAACUCAAAUUAGAAGGCUUUCAAAGUCACUUGGCCUAUUGAUCUUGACCAGCCUUGACUGGUUCCACAGCAAAUGUAACUUGCCUGUAAACUAUUCCCUCAGCUGGCACGACAUUGAGAAGAGAAUU
RNAcentral lists this long non-coding RNA (232 nucleotides) under Carica papaya (papaya). RNAcentral describes it as "long non-coding RNA (CPAP_LNC001630)". Lineage: Eukaryota; Viridiplantae; Streptophyta; Magnoliopsida; Brassicales; Caricaceae. The record is from RNAcentral.